Molecule: ribosomal RNA, 250 nt
Filed under: uncultured prokaryote
Description: partial 16S ribosomal RNA
Rfam family: Bacterial small subunit ribosomal RNA
Source: RNAcentral
UACGGAGGAUCCGAGCGUUAUCCGGAUUUAUUGGGUUUAAAGGGAGCGUAGGCGGGAGAUCAAGUCAGCUGUGAAAUGUAGACGCUCAACGUCUGCACUGCAGUUGAAACUGGUCUUCUUGAGUGGGUAAGGGGCAGGCGGAAUUCGUCGUGUAGCGGUGAAAUGCUUAGAUAUGACGAAGAACUCCGAUCGCGAAAGCAGCUUGCCGGGGCUACUGACGCUGAAGCUCGAAGGUGCGGGUAUCGAACAG